Molecule: ribosomal RNA, 1030 nt
Filed under: bacterium
Lineage: Bacteria
Description: bacterial SSU rRNA
Rfam family: Bacterial small subunit ribosomal RNA
Source: RNAcentral
AAUAAUUAUUCUGAUUUGACCAGCAGUCGAGCGGAGAGAGGUAGCUUGCUACCGAUCUUAGCGGCGGACGGGUGAGUAAUGCUUAGGAAUCUGCCUAUUAGUGGGGGACAACAUUUCGAAAGGAAUGCUAAUACCGCAUACGUCCUACGGGAGAAAGCAGGGGAUCUUCGGACCUUGCGCUAAUAGAUGAGCCUAAGUCGGAUUAGCUAGUUGGUGGGGUAAAGGCCUACCAAGGCGACGAUCUGUAGCGGGUCUGAGAGGAUGAUCCGCCACACUGGGACUGAGACACGGCCCAGACUCCUACGGGAGGCAGCAGUGGGGAAUAUUGGACAAUGGGCGCAAGCCUGAUCCAGCCAUGCCGCGUGUGUGAAGAAGGCCUUAUGGUUGUAAAGCACUUUAAGCGAGGAGGAGGCUACUUUAGUUAAUACCUAGAGAUAGUGGACGUUACUCGCAGAAUAAGCACCGGCUAACUCUGUGCCAGCAGCCGCGGUAAUACAGAGGGUGCAAGCGUUAAUCGGAUUUACUGGGCGUAAAGCGCGCGUAGGCGGCUAAUUAAGUCAAAUGUGAAAUCCCCGAGCUUAACUUGGGAAUUGCAUUCGAUACUGGUUAGCUAGAGUGUGGGAGAGGAUGGUAGAAUUCCAGGUGUAGCGGUGAAAUGCGUAGAGAUCUGGAGGAAUACCGAUGGCGAAGGCAGCCAUCUGGCCUAACACUGACGCUGAGGUGCGAAAGCAUGGGGAGCAAACAGGAUUAGAUACCCUGGUAGUCCAUGCCGUAAACGAUGUCUACUAGCCGUUGGGGCCUUUGAGGCUUUAGUGGCGCAGCUAACGCGAUAAGUAGACCGCCUGGGGAGUACGGUCACAAGACUAAAACUCAAAUGAAUUUGACGGGGGCCCGCACAAGCGGUGGAGCAUGUGGUUUAAUUCGAUGCACGCGAAGAACCCUUACCUGGUCUUGACAUAGUAAGAACUUUCCAGAGAUGGAUUGGUGCCUUCGGGAACUUACAUACAGGUGCUGCAUGACUUGUCGUCAA